This 445-nucleotide ribosomal RNA is filed under the name uncultured bacterium. RNAcentral describes it as "bacterial SSU rRNA". It matches the Rfam family "Bacterial small subunit ribosomal RNA", at positions 354 to 796 of the family's 1533-position model. The record is from RNAcentral.
GUGAGGAAUAUUGCGCAAUGGAGGCAACUCUGACGCAGCCAUGCCGCGUGCAGGAAGAAGGCGCUACGCGUUGUAAACUGCUUUUAACCGGGAAGAAACCCCAGGACGUGUCCUGGGUUGACGGUACCGGAGGAAUAAGCACCGGCUAACUCCGUGCCAGCAGCCGCGGUAAUACGGAGGGUGCAAGCGUUAUCCGGAUUCAUUGGGUUUAAAGGGUGCGUAGGCGGAGCGUUAAGUCAGUGGUGAAAUCCUGCAGCUUAACUGUAGACUUGCCAUUGAUACUGGCGCUCUUGAGUGCGCUUGAAGUGGGCGGAAUGUGCCGUGUAGCGGUGAAAUGCUUAGAUAUGGCACAGAACACCAAUUGCGAAGGCAGCUCACUAAGGCGAUACUGACGCUGAGGCACGAAAGCGUGGGGAUCGAACAGGAUUAGAAACCCGGGUAGUCC